This 382-nucleotide ribosomal RNA is filed under the name uncultured Nitrososphaera sp. Its description in RNAcentral is "bacterial SSU rRNA". It matches the Rfam family "Archaeal small subunit ribosomal RNA", at positions 93 to 476 of the family's 1478-position model. Lineage: Archaea; Thermoproteati; Nitrososphaerota; Nitrososphaeria; Nitrososphaerales; Nitrososphaeraceae. The record is from RNAcentral.
GUAACACGUAGUCAACAUGCCCAGAGGACGUGGAUAACCUCGGGAAACUGAGGAUAAACCGCGAUAGGUCAUAACUACUGGAAUGUGUUAUGGCCGAAAUCUACAUGGCCUCUGGAUUGGACUGCGGCCGAUCAGGCUGUUGGUGAGGUAAUGGCCCACCAAACCUGUUACCGGUACGGGCUCUGAGAGGAGGAGCCCGGAGAUGGGCACUGAGACAAGGGCCCAGGCCCUAUGGGGCGCAGCAGGCGCGAAACCUCUGCAAUAGGCGAAAGCUUGACAGGGUUACUCUGAGUGAUUCCCGCUAAGGGAAUCUUUUGGCAUCUCUAAAAAUGGUGCAGAAUAAGGGGUGGGCAAGUCUGGUGCCAGCAGCCGCGGUAAAUAC